GUUAAGGUGGCUGAUAAAAGCAUUAAAUUGUAAAUUUAAAGAUAAGAGAUUCUUUGACA
This 59-nucleotide transfer RNA is filed under the name Falcidens acutargatus. RNAcentral's name for it is "tRNA-Tyr". Lineage: Eukaryota; Metazoa; Mollusca; Caudofoveata; Chaetodermatida; Chaetodermatidae. The record is from RNAcentral.